RNAcentral lists this ribosomal RNA (1273 nucleotides) under Triticum aestivum (bread wheat). RNAcentral describes it as "partial small subunit ribosomal RNA". The record is from RNAcentral. Lineage: Eukaryota; Viridiplantae; Streptophyta; Magnoliopsida; Poales; Poaceae.
UCUCUGUCUCUCGUGUUUCGCAGGAGAAGAAGAGCCGCCGCCGCCGCUUUCCGCUUGCUCGCUCCUUGGGAUUGGGAUUGGUCAAGGCUAGGCGUUCCGGACGCAGCUACCGCCGAAGGGAGGCGCGCCGCCGCUGCUCCUACGACGCGGGCCGCCACGAAGGUCCCCUCCCCGCAGCGGACGAGCAGGUGUGGGUCGUCGAAAGGUUUAGUUGGGCGCGGAUGCUCCUUCCUUUGGUACGGAACUUACUUAUGGCACGCAGCGAAUAGGUCGUCUCCUUCCUCGUCGACAUGCAAGAGUAACGGCCGCGGCUCCGGUUAAGGGCGUGGAAGAACGACUUGUUUUCAGACGAGUUCCUAGAGAGAUGUGUUCAGUUCGGAUCUGGUCUCCUGGGAGUUACCGCGUUCUAUACAUCUUGGUUCUUCCACUGGUUGAAGUGAUCCAGCCGCCCAUAAGAACAAUAAAGACCCGAGUGAAUAAUACGGAACUGAAGGGCAGGACUUUAGCAUUCCAUACCACUGAUAGAACAAUGACGACUCUCACACGGGUACUAUGUUCUCUCCGACCUCCGCGUUCAUUAUGUUCUCUCUGACGCCUCUCAACGAUGACGACUCCCUCACUUGUUCGUUCUACCUGUAGUCGGACAACGAUGACGACUCCUUCACCUGUUCGUUCUACUUACAGUCACACAACGAUCACGACUCCUUCACCUGUUCGUUCUACCUAUAGUCGGACAACGAUCACGACUCCCUCACCUGUUCGUUCUACCUAUAGUCGGACAACGAUUUCGUUCAACUUACUUCUGCUUUACAUAGAGAACAAACUACCUCUUCGUUCUGCUAUAGUCAAGGUAAUGUCGAGAUACAAUACAUACAGAGAACUUUAUAUAUAGGUAGAUACUAGACGGUGGAUCUUCAAUCAUCAUCAUAUUGACCUACUAGACACUAACGUAACAUCCUAUACACACUACAACGACCGGACGGUACAAUGGGAAACUCAGAUUUUGAACUCGUCAUAAUAUUGACCUGCUAGACACUACCGCAACAUUCUAUAUACACUUAACGACCACACAAUACAACGGGAAAGUCGAAUCUUGAUCCCAUCAUAAUAUUGACCUACUAGACAAUACCGUAACUCUCUAUAGACACUACAACAACCGUAUCACACAACGGGAAAGUCAGAUCUUGAAAUCCUCAUAAUAACAACGACCUCCUAGACACUACCGUAACAUUCUAUUAAACACAACAACGACUGUUAUAAGGGGAAGGAGAGU